GGGACAACUAAUUAAAUUUCUAGAUAAGUUGGGUUUAAAUCCUUUAUUGUAUGUGAGUUUCAUGGGUCGUAUUUAAGCUGUUAAUGAGUCAUAAUGGACUAUAAAAAAUAAUAGGUUAACUUGGGCUCAACCCAAAUUAAUUCAUAAGCUAAAAUAUUAUAAUUCAAUUUAUUAAUCUCUAAGUUAAUUGGGCGAAUUAAAUAAAUUUGAGCUCAAAUUGCCACGUAGGGACCACUUAGCCAACCCCAAGCGUGAUGGAUCAAUUAGGACACAGGGAAUGCUUAGAGGCGUCAAUAUGAGCUGGCCAAUUGGUAUAUAGGGAAUGCACUAAUGCUAUAUAACGUCUUACAAUCACCUUAUAAUCACCUUAUUAAUUUGUUCGUGAGUAGAAGCGGAACCAAAAUUUAUAUUUAUGGGGUCUGAUUUGUUAUCCAGUCCUUGUUUAUUUUAAUUACUAGGUUCACGACUAAAUAAAGAGCAUUCAUAAUUUUAUCAUCUAAUCUAUCACCUACUGUAACAUUAUGUAGAAAUUCACUAUCGAUAAAUUAAAAACAAGGGCGAUCACUAUCAAGAAUUACGGGAGGAGGAGGAGGACGUCUAGGUUGGCGACUACUUGCAACUUGCUUAUCUUUUCUAGGUUGAGGAGCUGGGGAAGGGUAGUAUUAUGGCUAUUACUUUCACCGAUUUUACCUUUUCCUUUACCAAAUAUUUAUUUAAAGAAAAUGUCAUAUUAAUUUUAAUUAUGAAAACUAAACCACAUAAAAAUAUAU
Molecule: long non-coding RNA, 770 nt
Filed under: Nicotiana benthamiana
Lineage: Eukaryota; Viridiplantae; Streptophyta; Magnoliopsida; Solanales; Solanaceae
Description: long non-coding RNA (NBEN_LNC019792)
Source: RNAcentral